This 76-nucleotide transfer RNA is filed under the name Hydrogenimonas thermophila. RNAcentral describes it as "tRNA-Val". It matches the Rfam family "tRNA". From Rfam's summary of the family: Transfer RNA (tRNA) molecules are approximately 80 nucleotides in length. Their secondary structure includes four short double-helical elements and three loops (D, anti-codon, and T loops). The record is from RNAcentral. RNAcentral also lists the same sequence under 6 other names. Lineage: Bacteria; Pseudomonadati; Campylobacterota; Epsilonproteobacteria; Campylobacterales; Hydrogenimonadaceae.
GGUCGCUUAGCUCAGUUGGUAGAGCGCCACCCUUACAAGGUGGAUGCCAGUGGUUCGAGUCCACUAGCGACCACCA